Molecule: ribosomal RNA, 682 nt
Filed under: Prasophyllum canaliculatum
Lineage: Eukaryota; Viridiplantae; Streptophyta; Magnoliopsida; Asparagales; Orchidaceae
Description: eukaryotic LSU rRNA
Rfam family: 5.8S ribosomal RNA (bases 239-394)
Source: RNAcentral
CAUUGUCGAGACCGAAUUGAGACCGAGCCAUUCUGAAAACCUGUGAUCUAUCACUCUGGCGCCGGCGAAUGUCGUCGCCAGGCACCGGUCCCUCCGCCGCAGUCCCUCCCUUAACGGAUUGGCGCUGCGGCGGGGUGGGCGGGAAACAAAAAACCGGCGCAGCCCUGUGCCAAGGUACAUUUACAAUGCUAGCGUGUCGUGCGCGUCGCGCGUCGGCAUCGCUUCCUACAGAUCAUAUGACUCUCGGCAAUGGAUAUCUUGGCUCUUGCAUCGAUGAAGAGCGCAGCGAAAUGCGAUACGUGGUGCGAAUUGCAGAAUCCCGUGAACCAUCGAGUUUUUGAACGCAAGUUGCGCCUGAGGCCAACUGGUCGAGGGCACGUCCGCCUGGGCGUCAUGCAUCACAUCGCUCCGCCUCACGUCGCCUGCAUCUAUGAUGCGGCGACGUGUGCUUGGAUGCGGAUAUUGGCCCGUCGUGCGUCGUUGCGCGGCGGGUUGAAGAGCAGGCUGCUCUCCUCUUGGACAUGGUCGGUAAGGGGUGGAUGUAGGUCGGGAUCCGACGCACAUUUGACGCUACCGUACCAUACGUCAUCGGGGAGGGCGUCGACAGCAUCCGAACGGGGAGGGCCCGCGCGCAAGCGCAGUCGGGUGCCGCCUCUGAAUGCGACCCCAGGAUGGGCGGGAU